RNAcentral lists this ribosomal RNA (1372 nucleotides) under uncultured bacterium. Its description in RNAcentral is "bacterial SSU rRNA". It matches the Rfam family "Bacterial small subunit ribosomal RNA", at positions 28 to 1395 of the family's 1533-position model. The record is from RNAcentral.
GACGAACGCUGGCGGCGUGCUUAACACAUGCAAGUCGAGCGGAAAGGCCCUUCGGGGUACUCGAGCGGCGAACGGGUGAGUAACACGUGAGUAACCUACCUCGAACUCUGGGAUAAGCCUGGGAAACUGGGUCUAAUACCGGAUGUUCAUCUCCUGCUGCAUGGUGGGGGAUGGAAAGUGUUUAGCGGUUCGGGAUGGGCUCGCGGCCUAUCAGCUUGUUGGUGAGGUAAUGGCUUACCAAGGCUUUUACGGGUAGCCGGCCUGAGAGGGCGACCGGCCACACUGGGACUGAGAUACGGCCCAGACUCCUACGGGAGGCAGCAGUGGGGAAUUUUGGACAAUGGGGGAAACCCUGAUCCAGCCAUCCCGCGUGUGCGAUGAAGGCCUUCGGGUUGUAAAGCACUUUUGUCAGGGAAGAAAAGGUUUUGGCUAAUAUCCGAGACUGAUGACGGUACCUGAAGAAUAAGCACCGGCUAACUACGUGCCAGCAGCCGCGGUAAUACGUAGGGUGCGAGCGUUGUCCGGAAUUACUGGGCGUAAAGAGCUUGUACGCGGUUUGUCGCGUCGAUCGUGAAAACUCGCAGCUCAACUGUGAGCGUGCGGUCGAUACGGGCGGGCUAGAGUUCUGCAGGGGAGACUGGAAUUCCUGGUGUAGCGGUGAAAUGCGCAGAUAUCAGGAGGAACACCGGUGGCGAAGGCGGUCUCUGGGCAGUAACUGACGCUGAGAAGCGAAAGCGUGGGUAGCGAACAGGAUUAGAUACCCUGGUAGUCCACGCCGUAAACGGUGGGUACUAGGUGUGGGUUCCCUUCCACGGGAUCCGUGCCGUAGCUAACGCAUUAAGUACCCCGCCUGGGGAGUACGGCCGCAAGGCUAAAACUCAAAGGAAUUGACGGGGGCCCGCACAAGCGGCGGAGCAUGUGGAUUAAUUCGAUGCAACGCGAAGAACCUUACCUGGGUUUGACAUACACCGGUAACCUGCAGAGAUGUAGGCCCCCUUGUGGUCGGUGUACAGGUGGUGCAUGGCUGUCGUCAGCUCGCGUCGUGAGAUGUUGGGUUAAGUCCCGCAACGAGCGCAACCCUUAUCUUAUGUUGCCAGCGCGUUAUGGCGGGGACUCGUGAGAGACUGCCGGGGUCAACUCGGAGGAAGGUGGGGACGACGUCAAGUCAUCAUGCCCCUUAUGUCCAGGGCUUCACACAUGCUACAAUGGCUGGUACAGAGGGCUGCGAUACCGUGAGGUGGAGCGAAUCCCUUAAAGCCGGUCUCAGUUCGGAUCGGGGUCUGCAACUCGACCCCGUGAAGUUGGAGUCGCUAGUAAUCGCAGAUCAGCAACGCUGCGGUGAAUACGUUCCCGGGCCUUGCACACACCGCCC